CAGCCGCCGCGGGAAUACGGAGGAUCCAAGCGUUAUUCGGAAUCAUUGGGUUUAAAGGGUCCGUAGGCGGUCUUGUAAGUCAGUGGUGAAAGCCCAUCGCUCAACGGUGGAACGGCCAUUGAUACUGCAGGACUUGAAUUAUUGGGAAGUAACUAGAAUAUGUAGUGUAGCGGUGAAAUGCUUAGAGAUUACAUGGAAUACCAAUUGCGAAGGCAGGUUACUACCAAUUGAUUGACGCUGAUGGACGAAAGCGUGGGUAGCGAACAGGAUUAGAUACCCCCGUAGUCCCUGUCUCUUAUAC
RNAcentral lists this ribosomal RNA (301 nucleotides) under uncultured bacterium. RNAcentral describes it as "partial 16S ribosomal RNA". It matches the Rfam family "Bacterial small subunit ribosomal RNA", at positions 509 to 807 of the family's 1533-position model. The record is from RNAcentral.